RNAcentral lists this ribosomal RNA (455 nucleotides) under uncultured bacterium. RNAcentral's name for it is "SSU rRNA". It matches the Rfam family "Bacterial small subunit ribosomal RNA", at positions 26 to 517 of the family's 1533-position model. The record is from RNAcentral.
AGGAUGAACGCUGGCGGCGUGCCUAAUACAUGCAAGUCGAGCGGUAAGGCCACUUCGGUGGUACACGAGCGGCGGACGGCUGAGUAACACGUAGGAACGUACCCCAAAGUGAGGCAUAAGCACCAGAAAUGGUGUCUAAUACCGCAUGUGGCCUAACAGGCUAAAGCUCCGGCGCUUUGGGAACGGCCUGCGCAUGAUUAGCUUGUUGGUGAGGUAAAAGCUCACCAAGGCAGUGAUCAUUAGCUGGUCUGAGAGGAUGACCAGCCAGACUGGGACUGAGAACGGCCCAGACUCCUACGGGGGGAAGCAGUAGGGAAUUUUCCACAAUGGGCGAAAGCCUGAUGGAGCAACGCCGCGUGCAGGAUGAAGGCUCUAGGGUCGUAAACUGCUUUUAUCUGUGACGAAUAUGACGGUAGCAGAUGAAUAAGGAUCGGCUAACUCCGUGCCAGCAGCCG